RNAcentral lists this ribosomal RNA (500 nucleotides) under uncultured bacterium. Its description in RNAcentral is "partial 16S ribosomal RNA". It matches the Rfam family "Bacterial small subunit ribosomal RNA", at positions 30 to 523 of the family's 1533-position model. The record is from RNAcentral.
AUUGAACGCUGGCGGAAUGCUUUACACAUGCAAGUCGAACGGCAGCACGGACUUCGGUCUGGUGGCGAGUGGCGAACGGGUGAGUAAUGUAUCGGAACGUGCCCAGUCGUGGGGGAUAACGUAGUGAAAAUUACGCUAAUACCGCAUACGAUUUAUGGAUGAAAGCGGGGGAUCGCAAGACCUCGCGCGAUUGGAGCGGCGGAUAUCAGAUUAGGUAGUUGGUGGGGUAAAGGCCCACCAAGCCAACGAUCUGUAGCUGGUCUGAGAGGACGACCAGCCACACUGGAACUGAGACACGGUCCAGACUCCUACGGGAGGCAGCAGUGGGGAAUUUUGGACAAUGGGCGAAAGCCUGAUCCAGCCAUUCCGCGUGCAGGAUGAAGGCCCUCGGGUUGUAAACUGCUUUUGUACAGAACGAAAAGGUUUCUACUAAUACUAGGAGCUCAUGACGGUACUGUAAGAAUAAGCAUCGGCUAACUACGUGCCAGCAGCCGCAGUAA